GACGAACGCUGGCGGCGGGCUUAACACAUGCAAGUCGAACGGAAAGGCCCUGCUUGUGUGGGGUGCUCGAGUGGCGAACGGGUGAGUAACACGUGAGUAACCUGCCCUUGACUUUGGGAUAACUUCAGGAAACUGGGGCUACUACCGGAUAGGAGCUCCUGCUGCAGGGUGGGGGUUGGAAAGUUUCGGCGGUUGGGGAUGGACGCGCGGCUUAUCAGCUUGUUGGUGGGGUAGUGGCUUACCAAGGCUUUGACGGGUAGCCGGCCUGAGAGGGUGACCGGCCACCUUGGGCCUGAGAUACGGCCCAGACUCCUACGGUAGACAGCAGUGGGGAAUCUUGCACAAUGGGCGGAAGUCUGAUGCAGCAACGCCGCGGUCGUGAUGACGGCCUUCGGGUUGUAAACCGCUGUCGCCUGUGACGCAGCGUGAGUGACGGUACUGGGUAAAGAAGCACCGGCUAACUACGUG
Molecule: ribosomal RNA, 468 nt
Filed under: uncultured bacterium
Lineage: Bacteria
Description: partial 16S ribosomal RNA
Rfam family: Bacterial small subunit ribosomal RNA
Source: RNAcentral